This 1783-nucleotide long non-coding RNA is filed under the name Marmota monax (woodchuck). The stretch from base 1302 to 1375 matches the Rfam family "tRNA". Lineage: Eukaryota; Metazoa; Chordata; Mammalia; Rodentia; Sciuridae. The record is from RNAcentral.
CUUGAAAUUGCUUAACUGUUAAACUAUUUGUGUUUACAUUAAGAAUGGAGUCAAAUAAAACUUUUUUGGCUAAUACUUGAGUUAAAAUUUGACAUAUUUUUAAAAAUGUGAAAAAUACAAGGCUGUUAUUUGAGAGAUUAUUUCAGUGUACUUUUUCUGUUUGUCAUUUGUGUUUAAAAUUUAUUAUUAUUUGAAAACCUCAUUAGCAUUUAAGAGUUUGUGGCAUAGGCAAGCUCUCAUCUGCAGUGUUGUCCAUCUUUUAGUAGUUGAGGCUCUACAACCUUUAAUACCAUUCACUUAUCUGCUAAGCUUCUGGCAACCUCAGCUUACAUGAACAUCUGCAAAGUUAUGAGUAAGUAAACUUUUAAAACUAUCAGGUUAAAAUAACAUGAAUCCUGCCAUGCGCAGUGGCACACGCCUAUAAUCCCAGCAACUAGGGAGGCUGAGACAGGAAGAUUGCAAAUUUGAGGCCAGCUUCAGCAAUUGAGCAAAGCCCUGUCUUACAGUAAUAAAGGCAGGGGAUGUGCCUCAGUGGUUUAAAUGCCCCUGGUUCAAUCUCUGGUACCAAAAAAAAAAUAAUAGUAAUAAAAUAAAGAAAUAAGUAUACUUGAAUUUCUGAGGUAUAGUUAUGACAAAGCUUUUACUUUACCACUUGAGGAUAGAGAUUUCCUUAUUUUGGCAUAAUGUUUUUUCAUCUGACCCUUGUCAGUCCUUAUGUGUUUUCUAGUUUGUAGUCGAAAACAGAAAGGCAUUAACAAAAGCUUAGGAAAGGCAGUUUAGAAAUGGUUUAGGUAGUACUCUAGAGGUCAGGCCUAUUGAUGACUGAAGAGAAAUACCUGUUGUACAAAUAACAGGACAAAGGCUCAGAGGACUCAGGAAGUUGAAGUGGAGGACAGGCUGAACACUGUGCAUUUCUGUGGCUACUCAAAGCAUCCUUCAGUUAUUUAGGAAAUCUAUCCAUCUCAUUUCCCAGAAACAGGUAAUUGAGUUAUAGUCAUAUUUAGGAUUUAAUAAAAAUAUUUGAAAUGGUACAGUGAAUUACCUAAGCAAUAAUAAUUGUACUAUAAACUCUAAUUUGAGCUUUCUGUCCUGAUUAAAGUGUUUACCCUCGUAGUCUAAUUUAGAGAUUAUAACACAAAUUGAAAGAAUUUUAUCAAAUAUUGUCGUAAUUCCUUACAUAUAAAUUUGUUUUCUGACAAAAACGUUUACAGCAAGAAAUGUGAAAGCCAGAAGUUGAAAAGGAGAAGACUGACAAUAUUGACUAUGUAAAAAACAAAACAACAAAAAAAAAAAUCUGGGCUGGGAAUAUAGCUCAGUUGGUAAGAGUACUUGCCUUGCAUACACAAGGCCCUGGGUUCAAACCCUAGCACCACCAAAAAAAAAAAAAAAAAAAAAGAAACCUAAACAUUUAUGACAAAAGCCAUGAAGUUUUAACAAGUUAAUUUGAGUAGUCUCUUUAUAUUUUCACAUUAAUAUAGAAAGUGUUGCAAAUCAAUUAAAAGAACAGCCGAAUAGGAAAAAAAUGGGCAAAAAUUAUAAAGCAGUAAAGGGACUGGGGCUGGGAUUGUGGCUCAGUAGUAGAGCACUCGCCUAGAAUGGGUGGGACCCGGGUUCGAUCCUCAGCACCACAUUAAAAAUAAAUAUUGUGUUCAUCUACACCUAAAAAAUAAAUAUUAGAAAAGGGACUAAUAAAUAUAUUGAAAUUCGGUUUCCCUAAUAAUUAAUAAUUAAAAUAACAGUGGCAUCAUUUCUCAUCUAUCAGAUUGCAGAAGUUAGUAACGCC